RNAcentral lists this ribosomal RNA (510 nucleotides) under uncultured bacterium. Its description in RNAcentral is "partial 16S ribosomal RNA". It matches the Rfam family "Bacterial small subunit ribosomal RNA", at positions 29 to 523 of the family's 1533-position model. The record is from RNAcentral.
AUUGAACGCUGGCGGCAUGCCUUACACAUGCAAGUCGAGCGGCAGCGCGGGGGCAACCCAGGCGGCGAGCGGCGAACGGGUGAGUAAUACAUCGGAACGUGUCCAGUAGCGGGGGAUAACCUGUCGAAAGAUAGGCUAAUACCGCAUACGACCUACGGGUGAAAGCGGGGGACUCUCGGGCAACUGAGGGCCUCGCACUAUUGGAGCGGCCGAUGUCGGAUUAGCUAGUUGGCGGGGUAAUGGCCCACCAAGGCGACGAUCCGUAGCUGGUCUGAGAGGACGACCAGCCACACUGGAACUGAGACACGGUCCAGACUCCUACGGGAGGCAGCAGUGGGGAAUUUUGGACAAUGGGCGCAAGCCUGAUCCAGCCAUGCCGCGUGAGUGAAGAAGGCCUUCGGGUUGUAAAGCUCUUUCGGCGGGGACGAAACGGUCCGUGCCAACACCACGGACUAAUGACAGUACUCGCAGAAGAAGCACCGGCUAACUACGUGCCAGCAGCCGCGGUAA